Cinara cedri is the source of this 341-nucleotide non-coding RNA. The record is from the annotation of a GenBank genome assembly. Lineage: Eukaryota; Metazoa; Arthropoda; Insecta; Hemiptera; Aphididae.
GUUACAAAGGUGAAACUAUUAUGUAACAAUAUAAACCGUGUGGGAUUCGUAAAUGGCUUAGGUAAUUACAAAGGAAAAAAUAUGCAAAAUAGGAAAAGUUAUUAAAAUAAGAAAAAAAAUAUUACAAAAUACAUUUUUGAAUUUGUUAGAUUGAUAUGACACAUACAGUUCACGUUCACGUUUAUUGCCUAAUAACUGAACGUGUUCAUUUAAAAAAAAAUUAACACGUUCAUUACAUGUUCCCAGAAAAUUCUUAGAUAUCAAAUAUCAGUGCCUGUUUCAUUAGUUGAAUUCAUUUUAAGACUAAUAACUUAUUUGACCAAUUAUUUUUUUAAUUUUUA